Small nucleolar RNA from Arachis stenosperma, 102 nucleotides. RefSeq annotates it as small nucleolar RNA snoR126. The record is from RefSeq and is a predicted model, not a curated record. The transcript has a single exon. NCBI's taxonomy places the organism in Eukaryota, Viridiplantae, Streptophyta, Magnoliopsida, Fabales, Fabaceae.
AGGCUGUGAUGACAGACAACAUUUCUCGAUUCUGAUCAGUGACCAGGACCAAAGCAAACGUGUUUGCUCUUUGAUGACAGUCUUUGUGCGUGUCUGAGCCUA